This 561-nucleotide ribosomal RNA is filed under the name uncultured bacterium. Its description in RNAcentral is "bacterial SSU rRNA". It matches the Rfam family "Bacterial small subunit ribosomal RNA", at positions 64 to 638 of the family's 1533-position model. The record is from RNAcentral.
GCGCGAGAAGUUUCCUGCUUGCAGGAAGCGGACAGCGGCGAAAGGGAGAGUAACGCGUGGGCACCUGCCCUCUGGACCGGAAUAGCUGUGGGAAACUACAGGUAAUGCCGGAUAAAGUCCCCGGACCAAAGGUGUUAGCCACCGGAGGAUGGGCCCGCGUCCUAUUAGCUUGUUGGUGAGGUAAGGGCUCACCAAGACUACGAUGGGUACCGGGCGUGAGAGCGUGGCCCGGCUCACUGGGACUGAGACACUGCCCAGACACCUACGGGUGGCUGCAGUCGAGAAUCUUCGGCAAUGGGCGAAAGCCUGACCGAGCGACGCCGCGUGCGGGAUGAAGGCCUUCGGGUUGUAAACCGCUGUCAGAGGGGAGGAAAUGCUAGGCAAUCCCUAGUUUGACCUAUCCUCAGAGGAAGUCCGGGCUAAGUUCGUGCCAGCAGCCGCGGUAAGACGAACCGGACAAACGUUAUUCGGAAUUAUUGGGCUUAAAGGGUGCGUAGGCGGCGUGGCAAGUUGGAUGUGAAAUCCCUCGGCUCAACCGAGGAACUGCGUCCAAAACUGCCA